RNAcentral lists this unclassified non-coding RNA (326 nucleotides) under soil metagenome. Its description in RNAcentral is "partial contains 5.8S ribosomal RNA, internal transcribed spacer 2, and large subunit ribosomal RNA". The stretch from base 5 to 119 matches the Rfam family "5.8S ribosomal RNA", at positions 40 to 154 of the family's 154-position model. The record is from RNAcentral.
GAUGAGAACGCAGCGAAAUGCGAUAAGUAAUGUGAAUUGCAGAAUUCAGUGAAUCAUCGAAUCUUUGAACGCACAUUGCGCCCCUUGGUAUUCCGGGGGGCAUGCCUGUUCGAGCGUCAUUAUAACCCCUCAAGCUCAGCUUGGUGUUGGGGCCUGCCGACUGGCAGCCCUUAAAAUCAGUGGCGGCGCCAUCUGGCUCUAAGCGUAGUAAUUUCUCUCGCUAUAGAGUCCCGGUGGAUGCUUGCCAGCAACCCCCAACUUUCUAUGGUUGACCUCGGAUCAGGUAGGGAUACCCGCUGAACUUAAGCAUAUCAAUAAGCGGAGGA